This 328-nucleotide unclassified non-coding RNA is filed under the name soil metagenome. RNAcentral's name for it is "partial contains 5.8S ribosomal RNA, internal transcribed spacer 2, and large subunit ribosomal RNA". The stretch from base 1 to 119 matches the Rfam family "5.8S ribosomal RNA", at positions 35 to 154 of the family's 154-position model. The record is from RNAcentral.
GAUGAAGAACGUAGCGAAAUGCGAUAAGUAAUGCGAAUUGCAGAAUCCGUGAGUCAUCGAAUCUUUGAACGCACAUUGCGCCCCUUGGUAUCCCGAGGGGCAUGCCUGUUCGAGCGUCAUUUCACCACUCAAGCCUGGCUUGGUGUUGGGCGACGUCCCCUUUAGGGACGCGCCUCGAAACGCUCGGCGGCGUGGCACCGGCUUUAAGCGUAGCAGAAUCUUUCGCUUUGGAAGUCGGGGCCCCGCCUGCCGGAAUACCUACUCGUAAGGUUGACCUCGGAUCAGGCAGGGAUACCCGCUGAACUUAAGCAUAUCAAUAAGCGGAGGA